RNAcentral lists this ribosomal RNA (253 nucleotides) under uncultured bacterium. Its description in RNAcentral is "partial 16S ribosomal RNA". It matches the Rfam family "Bacterial small subunit ribosomal RNA", at positions 524 to 776 of the family's 1533-position model. The record is from RNAcentral.
UACAGAGGGUGCAAGCGUUAAUCGGAAUUACUGGGCGUAAAGCGCGUGUAGGCGGGUCUUUAAGUCAGGGGGGAAAUGCCAGGGCUCAACCUUGGAACUGCCUUUGAUACUGGAGACCUUGAGUCCGGGAGAGGUGAGUGGAAUUGCGAGUGUAGAGGUGAAAUUCGUAGAUAUUCGCAAGAACACCAGUGGCGAAGGCGGCUCACUGGCCCGAUACUGACGCUGAGGCACGAAAGCGUGGGGAGCAAACAGG